GACAGAGGGUGCAAACGUUGUUCGGAAUUACUGGGCGUAAAGCGUGCGCAGGCGGUUAUGCAAGACAGAUGUGAAAUCCCCGGGCUUAACCUGGGAACUGCAUUUGUGACUGCAUAGCUAGAGUACGGUAGAGGGGGAUGGAAUUCCGCGUGUAGCAGUGAAAUGCGUAGAUAUGCGGAGGAACACCGAUGGCGAAGGCAGUCCCCUGGACCUGUACUGACGCUCAUGCACGAAAGCGUGGGGAGCAAACAGG
This 253-nucleotide ribosomal RNA is filed under the name uncultured bacterium. RNAcentral's name for it is "partial 16S ribosomal RNA". It matches the Rfam family "Bacterial small subunit ribosomal RNA", at positions 524 to 776 of the family's 1533-position model. The record is from RNAcentral.